Pseudopipra pipra is the source of this 887-nucleotide long non-coding RNA. RefSeq lists it as uncharacterized. The transcript is spliced from 2 exons. The record is from RefSeq and is a predicted model, not a curated record. Lineage: Eukaryota; Metazoa; Chordata; Aves; Passeriformes; Pipridae.
CGGGGGGACCUUCUGGCUCUGCAACCCCCUGACAGGAGGGGGGAGCCGGGGAGGGUCGGGCUCUGCUCGCAGGGAACAAGGGACAGCAGGAGAGGACACGGCCUCAGAUUGUGUCAGGGCAGGUUUAGGUUAGAUAUUAGGAAAAAUUGAUCCAUGGAAAAUGUAGUCAGAUAUUGGCACAGACUGUCCAGGGCAGUGGUGGGGUCACCAGCCAUGGAGGGAUUUAAAAACCCUGUGGAUUUGGCACUUGGGGAACACGGGUUAGUGGUGACCUUGGCAGUGCUGGGUUGACAGUUGGACUCCAUGGUCUUAGAGGGCUUUUCCAACCUGAUUGAUUCUGUGAUUCCAUGAUUCUGUGAGGCAGAGGAGCAGUCUGGGUGGUUACACUGCAGCCAGGCACCCCAAGCUCUCCUGCAUGCUCCCCUUCCCACGGGCAGCUCUGCCUCUGGUGAGAGCAGCCACUGAUUAGUCCUGCCAGAAACCACACUUCCCUGGCUCAGGCACAGAAAAAAACAACAGAUAACACAAGAGAGAAAGUCAGAGAGAGGGAAGAAGGCAGGAGCAAGUGGGACUGCUGUUGCUGAUGUAUUAUUUAUAUAGCAGGAAAUUAGACUCUGAGGACUCAAGUAUUCUUCAAAUAAGCUUCCUAAUUCUGUCAAUUAAGAAUGCACAGGCUGCUGGGGCUCUAGCUUGGGAUGAGCUGCAGAGGAGUGAAAGCUGCCCCUGGUCAUUGCUCUGAUGUGCUGCUACAGAUAUUUCAGCUGGAGGAAAAAUAUCUUAGUCCCAAAAUCAAAUGUGUGAGAUGCUGGGAGGCUUAUAUAGAGCAGCUCUGGCUGAUUCCAGUGGGACAAAUAACUUCCCUGUGCUCUGACAGGGGAAUACUGAAA